This 454-nucleotide ribosomal RNA is filed under the name uncultured bacterium. Its description in RNAcentral is "bacterial SSU rRNA". It matches the Rfam family "Bacterial small subunit ribosomal RNA", at positions 340 to 786 of the family's 1533-position model. The record is from RNAcentral.
UACGGAAGGCAGCAGUGGGGAAUAUUGCACAAUGGGCGCAAGCCUGAUGCAGCCAUGCCGCGUGUAUGAAAAAGGCCUUCGGGUUGUAAAGUACUUUCAGUCGUGAGGAAGGUGUUAAGGUUAAUAACCUUAGCAAUUGACGUUAGCGACAGAAGAAGCACCGGCUAACUCCGUGCCAGCAGCCGCGGUAAUACGGAGGGUGCGAGCGUUAAUCGGAAUUACUGGGCGUAAAGGGCACGCAGGCGGUUAAUUAAGUUGGAUGUGAAAUCCCCGGGCUUAAACCUGGGAAUGGCAUUCAAGACUGGUUAGCUAGAGUCUUGUAGAGGGGGUAGAAAUUCCAUGUGUAGCGGUGAAAUGCGUAGAGAUGUGGAGGAAUACCGGUGGCGAAAGGCGGCCCCUGGACAAAGACUGACGCUCAUGUGCAAAGCUGGGGAGCAAACAGGGAUUAGAUACC